GUACGCUGGCGGCACGCCUAACACAUGCAAGUCGAACGAAGUAGCAAUAUUUAGUGGCAGACGGGUGAGUAACAUGUGGGUAUCUGCCCUUUGGCCUGGAAUAACACGAGGAAACUUGUGCUAAUACCGGAUAAGUCUUUACGGAGAAAGCUUUAUGCACCAUUGGAUGAGCCCGCACUUGAUUAGUUUGUUGGUGGGGUAAUGGCCUACCAAGACUGUGAUCAAUAGCUGAUUUGAGAGGAUGAUCAGCCACAUUGGGACUGAGACACGGCCCAAACUCCUACGGGAGGCAGCAGUGGGGAAUCUUGCACAAUGGAGGAAACUCUGAUGCAGCGAUGCCGCGUGAGUGAAGAAGGCCCUUGGGUUGUAAAGCUCUUUCGUCGGGGAAGAAAAUGACUGUACCCGAAUAAGAAGGUCCGGCUA
Molecule: ribosomal RNA, 423 nt
Filed under: uncultured bacterium
Lineage: Bacteria
Description: bacterial SSU rRNA
Rfam family: Bacterial small subunit ribosomal RNA
Source: RNAcentral